GAUGAACGCUGGCGGCGUGCCUAAUACAUGCAAGUCGAGCGAACGGACGAGAAGCUUGCUUCUCUGAUGUUAGCGGCGGACGGGUGAGUAACACGUGGAUAACCUACCUAUAAGACUGGGAUAACUUCGGGAAACCGGAGCUAAUACCGGAUAAUAUUUUGAACCGCAUGGUUCAAAAGUGAAAGACGGUCUUGCUGUCACUUAUAGAUGGAUCCGCGCUGCAUUAGCUAGUUGGUAAGGUAACGGCUUACCAAGGCAACGAUGCAUAGCCGACCUGAGAGGGUGAUCGGCCACACUGGAACUGAGACACGGUCCAGACUCCUACGGGAGGCAGCAGUAGGGAAUCUUCCGCAAUGGGCGAAAGCCUGACGGAGCAACGCCGCGUGAGUGAUGAAGGUCUUCGGAUCGUAAAACUCUGUUAUUAGGGAAGAACAUAUGUGUAAGUAACUGUGCACAUCUUGACGGUACCUAAUCAGAAAGCCACGGCUAACUACGUGCCAGCAGCCGCGGUAAUACGUAGGUGGCAAGCGUUAUCCGGAAUUAUUGGGCGUAAAGCGCGCGUAGGCGGUUUUUUAAGUCUGAUGUGAAAGCCCACGGCUCAACCGUGGAGGGUCAUUGGAAACUGGAAAACUUGAGUGCAGAAGAGGAAGGUGGAAUUCCAUGUGUAGCGGUGGAAUGCGCAGAGAUAUGGAGGAACACCAGUGGCGAAGGCGACUUUCUGGUCUGUAACUGACGCUGAUGUGCGAAAGCGUGGGGAUCAAACAGGAUUAGAUACCCUGGUAGUCCACGCCGUAAACGAUGAGUGCUAAGUGUUAGGGGGUUUCCGCCCCUUAGUGCUGCAGCUAACGCAUUAAGCACUCCGCCUGGGGAGUACGACCGCAAGGUUGAAACUCAAAGGAAUUGACGGGGACCCGCACAAGCGGUGGAGCAUGUGGUUUGAUUCGAAGCAACGCGAAGAACCUUACCAAAUCUUGACAUCCUUUGACAACUCUAGAGAUAGAGCCUUCCCCUUCGGGGGACAAAGUGACAGGUGGUGCAUGGUUGUCGUCAGCUCGUGUCGUGAGAUGUUGGGUUAAGUCCCGCAACGAGCGCAACCCUUAAGCUUAGUUGCCAUCAUUAAGUUGGGCACUCUAAGUUGACUGCCGGUGACAAACCGGAGGAAGGUGGGGAUGACGUCAAAUCAUCAUGCCCCUUAUGAUUUGGGCUACACACGUGCUACAAUGGACAAUACAAAGGGCAGCGAAACCGCGAGGUCAAGCAAAUCCCAUAAAGUUGUUCUCAGUUCGGAUUGUAGUCUGCAACUCGACUACAUGAAGCUGGAAUCGCUAGUAAUCGUAGAUCAGCAUGCUACGGUGAAUACGUUCCCGGGUCU
Molecule: ribosomal RNA, 1372 nt
Filed under: uncultured bacterium
Lineage: Bacteria
Description: bacterial SSU rRNA
Rfam family: Bacterial small subunit ribosomal RNA
Source: RNAcentral